GGGGAUAUAGCUCAGUGGUAGAUUGCUUGCCUAGCAUGCAUGAGGCCCUGGGUUCAAUCCUCAGUACUACUU
Molecule: transfer RNA, 72 nt
Filed under: Marmota marmota marmota (Alpine marmot)
Lineage: Eukaryota; Metazoa; Chordata; Mammalia; Rodentia; Sciuridae
Also listed under: 1 other name
Rfam family: tRNA
About the family: Transfer RNA (tRNA) molecules are approximately 80 nucleotides in length. Their secondary structure includes four short double-helical elements and three loops (D, anti-codon, and T loops).
Source: Rfam by way of RNAcentral